CACGUCAGCGCGUUAUGCUGACGUGGACACAAAUCGCAUUCUGAAGGCCGCGCUUUGUUGCCACGUAAGCAAAGCGCGCUGACGUGG
This is a non-coding RNA of Gossypium raimondii (Peruvian cotton), 87 nucleotides long. The record is from Rfam. Lineage: Eukaryota; Viridiplantae; Streptophyta; Magnoliopsida; Malvales; Malvaceae.